RNAcentral lists this transfer RNA (66 nucleotides) under Halesus radiatus. RNAcentral's name for it is "tRNA-Leu". The record is from RNAcentral. Lineage: Eukaryota; Metazoa; Arthropoda; Insecta; Trichoptera; Limnephilidae.
AUUAUUUUGGCAGAAAAAUGCAUUAAAUUUAGAAUUUAAGAAUAUGAUUAAUUAUCAUAGAUAAUA